CGUAGGGUGCAAGCGUUAAUCGGAAUUACUGGGCGUAAAGCGUGCGCAGGCGGUUAUGUAAGACAGGUGUGAAAUCCCAGGGCUUAACCUUGGAACUGCAUUUGUGACUGCAUAGCUAGAGUACGGUAGAGGGGGAUGGAAUUCCGCGUGUAGCAGUGAAAUGCGUAGAUAUGCGGAGGAACACCGAUGGCGAAGGCAAUCCCCUGGACCUGUACUGACGCUCAUGCACGAAAGCGUGGGGAGCAAACAGGAUUAGAUACCCUGGUAGUCCACGCCCUAAACGAUGUCAACUGGUUGUUGGGUCUUUACUGACUCAGUAACGAAGCUAACGCGUGAAGUUGACCGCCUGGGGAGUACGGCCGCAAGGUUG
This 370-nucleotide ribosomal RNA is filed under the name uncultured organism. RNAcentral describes it as "bacterial SSU rRNA". It matches the Rfam family "Bacterial small subunit ribosomal RNA", at positions 526 to 896 of the family's 1533-position model. The record is from RNAcentral.